GUCCACGCCUAACGAUGAUCACUGGACGUUGGAGGAAUUGGCCUCUUAGUGUCGAAGCUAACGCGUGAAGUGAUCCGCCUGGGAGUACGCUCGCAAGAGUGAACUCAAGGAAUUGACGGGGCCCGGCACAAGCGGUGGAGUAUGUGGUUAAUUCGAUGCAACGCGAAGAACCUUACCUGGAUUUGACAUGUCUGGAAUCCUGCAGAGAUGCGGGAGUGCCGCAAGGAACCAGAACACAGGUGCUGCAUGGCUGUCGU
RNAcentral lists this ribosomal RNA (257 nucleotides) under uncultured bacterium. Its description in RNAcentral is "partial 16S ribosomal RNA". It matches the Rfam family "Bacterial small subunit ribosomal RNA", at positions 793 to 1055 of the family's 1533-position model. The record is from RNAcentral.